This 255-nucleotide ribosomal RNA is filed under the name uncultured bacterium. RNAcentral's name for it is "partial 16S ribosomal RNA". It matches the Rfam family "Bacterial small subunit ribosomal RNA", at positions 524 to 776 of the family's 1533-position model. The record is from RNAcentral.
UACGUAGGGUGCGAGCGUUGUCCGGAAUUAUUGGGCGUAAAGGGCUCGUAGGCGGUCUGUCACGUCGGGGAGUGAAAACACGGGGCUUAACCCCGUGCCUGCUUCCGAUACGGGCAGACUAGAGGUAUGCAGGGGAGAACGGAAUUCCUGGUGUAGCGGUGAAAUGCGCAGAUAUCAGGAAGAACACCUAUGGCGAAGGCAGCUCUCUGGGACGGUACUGACGCUGAGACGCGAAAAGCGUGGGGAGCGAACAGG